This 999-nucleotide unclassified non-coding RNA is filed under the name Hevea brasiliensis (rubber tree). Lineage: Eukaryota; Viridiplantae; Streptophyta; Magnoliopsida; Malpighiales; Euphorbiaceae. The record is from RNAcentral.
GGCUCCAUUAAAGCUUUGUCAAAGAUCUGCGAGAUAACACCAGUAAGUGUGGCAGUAUUGUCUAUGUUAACUGCUUUCACUUGCUCAAAAAGUUUUUCAAAAUUCUGCGGAGUUAGCUUGUUCAAGAUAGCUUUCAACUGCCUUUGUUUGGCCUCUUCUUCAUCUGCCACUUUACCCACUACUUCGUACUUUUUCUCAGCCUUGUGCAUCAUCUGCAAUGGAGUCUGAGGAGAAGGAAUCAAUCCCUUUUGUUGGAAAUUCGUAGCACGCUGCCACCUAUCAGCAUCUGGGCUAUUUCUUUGCAUAGCUCCCUGAGGACCCAUUGACUGCACAGGCCCGGAUAGGAUACCUCCCACAUAUUGAGGACUCUGUGCUCGUGGAUUCCUUAGAACACCAUAAUUUGCUCCUUGGCCAGGUCGAAAUCNNNNNNNNNNAACCAAUAUCCACACGUAAAUCCCUCCCCAUGCCAAAGGGACCAGGUAGUUUACUCCAUCGAUCAUCAUCAGCCAUACCACUUCCACGACGGUCCAUCCGAGAUCCACUAUUUGACCUGUCAAUGACUCUUACAGGACUAGGAUAUGAAUCCCGUUCAACAAAAUGAGAAAGACUAAGAGCCUCUGCAAUAUCAGAUGAAAUUUCAAAAUGUUCAGGAAGAUCAGUAUAUUGCUCAGAAAAUUUCAGAAGGAAGUCUCUGGAAUACUUUUUUUGCUGUAUUAGCAUUCUCAAUUCUGCCAUGUUGCAUUAACCCACCAAGUGCCUGCUCCCCAUUAUCUGAAGUUUCCAGUUUUGGUGUAGAGAUGUCAGCAGCAUCUUCCCAAUCAUCCGGCUCAGCUUUAUUCUGGAUGCCUGUCUCACUUGUCAUGGAAUCCACUUCAAGUGUGUCCACAGGUGCCUGCUUCACAUUAGAGCUAGUAGAGGUGUUUUCCAUUGCUUCUGCAGAAGCAACACUUUCUUUCUUUUCUUCUGGACCUUUAUAUGCCAUAUAAAGAUCAGAAGUUG